This is a transfer RNA of Blastocystis hominis, 73 nucleotides long. It matches the Rfam family "tRNA". From Rfam's summary of the family: Transfer RNA (tRNA) molecules are approximately 80 nucleotides in length. Their secondary structure includes four short double-helical elements and three loops (D, anti-codon, and T loops). Lineage: Eukaryota; Bigyra; Opalinata; Blastocystidae. The record is from Rfam.
GCCCGUCUAGCUCAGUCGGUAGAGCGCCAGGCUCUUAACCUGGUGGUCGGGGGUUCGAGCCCCCCGGUGGGCG